Molecule: transfer RNA, 88 nt
Filed under: Actinomycetota bacterium
Lineage: Bacteria; Bacillati; Actinomycetota
Description: tRNA-Ser
Source: RNAcentral
GGAACUUUUGAAUAUAAGUGAAUAACCACGACAGUAUGAAUCCGCCUUUGCACGGCGGAGGUCAGGGGUUCGAAUCCCCUCGGCUCCA